UUAAUUGAAACCAAAAUAGAGGUAUAUCACUGUUAAUGAUAAAACUGAGAAAACUCUCCAAUUAAG
RNAcentral lists this transfer RNA (66 nucleotides) under Xylotrupes socrates tonkinensis. Its description in RNAcentral is "tRNA-Asn". The record is from RNAcentral. RNAcentral also lists the same sequence under 1 other name. Lineage: Eukaryota; Metazoa; Arthropoda; Insecta; Coleoptera; Scarabaeidae.